Molecule: long non-coding RNA, 2428 nt
Organism: Aedes albopictus (Asian tiger mosquito)
Lineage: Eukaryota; Metazoa; Arthropoda; Insecta; Diptera; Culicidae
Exons: 2
Source: RefSeq, a predicted model, not a curated record
UUGAAAAGAUAUCAAAAGAGUAAUUCCUUAAGCAAUAGCAAAAGAUAUUCCAGUUACUCAUGGAUUUUCAAUUAAAUGUUAUAUGGAACUGAUUAUAUCAUUGAUUCUUCCCGAGUUUUCUUGAAAGAUAUCUCCCGAGAUUCCUGGCACGCAGAAAAAAAUAUUUUAAACUCAAAAAUAAAGUGCUUUGAAUCAAAGAAAAUAAACCAUUGAUCCACGGCUUAAUAUCAUUUUGCUUUGAAUCAAAUACAUUUGGUAUUAGUUUCAAAGUAUUAUUUUCAUUGCUUUAAUAAUCGAGCCUCCGCGGCACUGAUUGUAGUUUCAAAUACCUACUUGUUGACUUUGAUUUUAUCACAUCAUUGCUUUGAAUGUAAGUAAUUUUGCAAUUUCAAAGGCUAUAUUUUUUUGAAAUAAAUAUUCAUGGACUUAGAUUCAAAAACAAAAUAUUUUUGUUUGAAAGUGAAAGCGAAAUAAAAAAAGGCGAGUGAGAAUCGAACACGGGUACUGCUAUUAUAUGCUGUACUGAUAGCGAGUUAUCUUUCACGACCAGAUCUGAUCUUGAAAAUCUGAGGGUAAAACUGAAUUACCUUGCUCAUAUUGGCAUUAUGCAUUCUCCAAAAUUGAAAACAAAGAAAUAUUUUUAUUGAUUCAACAAACCUCGCGACUUAGUAACAAAGCCUCUUUAAUUUUGGUUCUAAUAUGUGUUAUUUUUCUGCGUGUGGAACUUCUUUCGAAGUUUUUCAGGGAUUAUUUUACCAAAUCAUCGUCUGAGAUUUCUCCACAUUUUUCUAACUUUAUUCCUAAUUAUUAUGGGAGUUUUCCCAAGCAACUGCAUUCUUUCAGAAAAUUGACGCAGAAUUCCUGUUAGGUUUACUCCAUGUAGGGGGAAGUGGAUUCUACAAUGGAGGAAGGGAAUGUAAUAAUCAAGAAAGAAAAAAAAAAUGUUACGUAAUUAAUAAUUUCUUCCUUACGAAGAGAUCCUAUGGAUCAAGCAGGAUUCGGAUCCACAUACUCUCGGCAUGAUCCUAUUGAUUAAAUCAAAAUAAAAAACCGGCCUCAAAAAUAGCGAACCUAAAUCCUAAUCCGAAAUGAAGGUUUCAGCGAAAAAAUUGCUGAAAUUUAGCAAAAUUGUUCAGUGCAUUUGCUAAUGAUCGGCUACAUUUUGCUGAAAUUCAAAUUCGUCCUUCCUUGUUUCGACCUUUUGUGUUUCCCCAUUAUUCGACAUCCUCCAUACCAAAUGUUACCGAAUGAAAUUGCUCAUUGUUAAAUUUCAAUAUUCCAUUCAACCAAGACAUGUGCAUUCAAUCAAACGUUCGUUACGCCCGAAUGUGAAAGAAUCGUUAGAAUAAUCGCAAUAUCCCUUCCAGGAGCAAAUCACCCGCGUUCUGCUGGAACGACUGAUUGUGAACCGUCCGCAUCCGUGGGGACUGCUGAUUACAUUCAUCGAGCUGAUCAAAAAUCCAUCGUACAAGUUCUGGGACCAUGACUUUGUGCACUGUGCACCAGAAAUUGAGAAACUAUUCGAAUCGGUGGCCAACUCGUGCAUGGUGGUCAAAUCCAAAAGCCAACCGCAGAUGCCGAACGUCGAGUCGGAAAUUGCCGAGUGCAACUAGAUCGAAUGUCGGUUGAUCGAAACGCUGACAUAACACCGUACCACGUAGCGCCUAGUGUUUUAAGUGUAAGCGAAAAGAACCAGUACACUUUUGUUAAGGGUAUGAAAACUACAUUAUAGCAAUGGACACGAGGGAGGGAAAAUAACAUUUUUAACAGUGUGAUGGGAUGGUGUUGACGCCUACCGUUACUGCUGUGUGUGGAACACGAACCACUCGUUUUUUUUUGGUUUUGUUUUAGACUAUCUCAUACAGACUGGAGCCAUGGCAUUAGAAAGUGUAUUUUUUAUGAAUUUAAAGGUGGAAACAUUUUGGGAUUAUGCCUAUCAGUUUGUUUUAGUUGCAAAGAAUACCAUCUUUUUGUAAAUAGCAUCAUGGAUUUUUAACAAUAUUUAUAUCAUGUUCAUAGCCACACUAGCCUAUUUGCGGUAAAAUAUAAUGUCUGUCUCCUGAGCUAACAAGUCUAGAACUGUACAACCGAUGGUCCAAAAACAAGCGAAAAGACUCGUGAAUGUCGUCUGCGUGGUCAGUGUUCAAUGUGUGUAUGUAUGUCCUUUUCAUCUAGCGAUUUUGGUCGAAGACAAUGCGGCGUUAAUGCGAUGGUGAAAUUGAAAUGCACAUGGCGCUAGAAUUUACAGAAGUCCAGGCUGUAUACAGUACAUGCAACUAGAUGAUGCGGAAUUAUAUAUUAGAAUAACUGUAAUUGUGUCUUAGAAGUUAAGCGUUGAUAGGUGUGCGUUGUUAGCAAUUAAUCACAUUAUGAUAAACUAUAUAUUGAACGAUUCAUAUAAAUAUAUUUAAACGUAAAUAAUGUAGGA